UACAAGCUAGUGGAUUAAGCUCUAUUGAGGCAGAACAUCAGUACUACUAAGCUUUAGCAAAGGGAGUCAUUGAUAUCCUGACUUCCUAUUCUGAUACAAGCUGAAACUGUGACAUUAAUUACUAUUAAUAGCUGGAACAUUUCAGCAUGACCCUCAGGAGCAGAAAAGAUUGAGGAGAUGACAGGAGUCUUGUUGGAGAACAUUUAUGUGAUGUGAACCACUGUGGAACUAUGAAUUCAUGAAGCUGGAGUCCUUGGUUUACAGCUGAUCCCAAACCAUCUUGUUUCUGUGAUGUGCCCAGAGAGGUAGAUGCACAUAGUAGGGACACACAACAUACAUGACUCCUGUUUUCCAUAUCCAUACUGUGUUUUGCUGCCAGUGGCAAGCAUUUGUUAAUGAACAAAAUUUUGUGUUUGUCAUAAAGUCAGGAGUUGCAUCAUAUUCCCUUGUAACAGAACCAUCCUCAAUACUCCUGAAGAGAAAAAUAAAUACAUCAAGGAUCUGUGCACUUCUGGUUUAAAAUUAGCCAUCAUUUAUAUUGACAUUUGCCCAGGAGAAGUAAAUCUGUUCAAAAUAUUUGGGUAAGUGGUGUAGGAGCACCAUUUUGUGCUUGGAAAGACAUCCAAGACCACUUACCUACCUCUCUCACACCUCUCUGAAGAGUUCCACACAAUUUUAAAGGAGAUGGCUCUACUCACUUUGGAGGCAGUGGAGGAAGAAUCAGCUUGUCCAAGGCCAUAAACUUGCCAAUGGAGAACUACAAGAGGGUCAGUCUUCCCCAGUCCCAACACAACAUCUCUCACUGCACUGUUGUUGUCUGGCAUGCAGCUCUUCAUCUCACCUGACUGAAAAACUAUCAAUGUUAAAAGAUGUCUACAGAUGGACUACAACAUCUUCUAGUUCUGGAUACUACACAAGAGUGGACAUGUUGGAUUUAUGCAUGAGAAUACCUAUGGCUGAAGUUAGCUUAAUAUCCUGAACUGAAAUUCUAAUAGAAUAAAAAUAAUCCUUGAAUACAAGUUCUAUGAAUAAGACUUUCCCCUCCAACAAUGUCACCGAAACAACCAUGUUGUCCUGGGUAACUUUCUGGUAGUCAGCUAUGUAAAGCAGGACUGGCAGGUACCUGCUGGAUGGCCACCACUGAACUGGACUUCAAACUAAUCCCAGGGGAUCCAAAGUAGCUCCCUAUCAAGCAGAACAACAUUAAACAACAGCCUGAUAACAGGGCUUGUUUUUAAGUAAUUGCUUCUUUCAGCUUAAGUAAUGAGGUGGCUUUUAACGCUUGUUCAGGUACUUCAAAUCUGAAUGAGACCAUUCCAAAAAUUAGUCAUCAAAUGUUAAUGAGUUCUGGGAUAGGCUAUUAAUUGCCUUCCUUGAAUCUGUUAAUCUUCUGAGGUCAGGCAAAGACUGAUAAACAGAGAUACAAACUGCACUAUGUACAUGGAAGUGUUAACACUAUAUGUCAGUGUGUAACAUGGAGUAACUAUGUGGACUAUUUCCAAUUUAAUUAGUAAGGAAAGGUGUAAUAUAUAUAAUAUUCUUCAACUGAACUCAUUCAAAACAGAAUUUGCUUUAUUUUUUUUCCAGAAUUAAAUGAAGGACAAAACAUAUCUAGAUAUGCAGUAUUUUGAGGGUGGAAAAGAAAUAAAUUCUUCUGAAAAUCUCAUUAAGAAUUCUGCUAGAUUAGAUGCCUAGCUUCCAACAGAAUUCUGGGAUGUAUGAAAGUGUCAUAGGUUCCUAUCUGCAUCUCUGGCCAUCUAAAUCUCUCUCGAAUUCUAACUUCAUUAAUUCUGAUUCACACUUCAAUAAACCUCUAUGUUUGGAAGAAAAAAAACAAA
Molecule: long non-coding RNA, 1838 nt
Organism: Pezoporus occidentalis (night parrot)
Lineage: Eukaryota; Metazoa; Chordata; Aves; Psittaciformes; Psittacidae
Exons: 2
Source: RefSeq, a predicted model, not a curated record